GCUGGGGGUGGAUGAGUGGCGAACGGGUGAGUAUCACGUGAGGAACCUGCCCUGAACUUCGGGAUAAGCCUGGGAAACUGGGUCUAAUACUGGAUAGGACAUCUCAUCGCAUGGUGGGGUGUGGAAAGCUUUAUUGCGGUUUGGGAUGGUCUCGCGGCCUAUCAGCUGGUUGGUGGGGUAAUGGCCUACCAAGGCUUUGACGGGUAGCCGGCCUGAGAGGGUGACCGGCCACACUGGGACUGAGACACGGCCCAGACUCCUACGGGAGGCAGCAGUGGGGGAUAUUGCACAAUGGGCGCAAGCCUGAUGCAGCGACGCCGCGUGAGGGAUGACGGCCUUCGGGUUGUAAACCUCUUUCAGUUGGGAAGAAGCCCCUUUGGGGUGACGGUACUUUCAGAAGAAGCACCGGCUAACUACGUGCCAGCAGCCGCGGUAAUACGUAGGGUGCGAGCGUUAUCCGGAAUUAUUGGGCGUAAAGAGCUCGUAGGCGGUUUGUCGCGUCUGCUGUGAAAUCUCAAGGCUUAACCUUGAGUUUGCAGUGGGUACGGGCAGGCUGGAGUGCAGUAGGGGAGACUGGAAUUCCUGGUGUAGCGGUGAAAUGCGCAGAUAUCAGGAGGAACACCGAUGGCGAAGGCAGGUCUCUGGGCUGUUACUGACGCUGAGGAGCGAAAGCAUGGGGAGCGAACAGGAUUAGAUACCCUGGUAGUCCAUGCCGUAAACGUUGGGCACUAGGUGUGGGGACCAUUUCCACGGUUUCCGCGCCGUAGCUAACGCAUUAAGUGCCCCG
RNAcentral lists this ribosomal RNA (787 nucleotides) under Yaniella sp. L37C4c3_1_2_12_S2. Its description in RNAcentral is "bacterial SSU rRNA". It matches the Rfam family "Bacterial small subunit ribosomal RNA", at positions 79 to 871 of the family's 1533-position model. Lineage: Bacteria; Bacillati; Actinomycetota; Actinomycetes; Micrococcales; Micrococcaceae. The record is from RNAcentral.